Molecule: ribosomal RNA, 293 nt
Filed under: uncultured Sphingobacteriales bacterium
Lineage: Bacteria; Pseudomonadati; Bacteroidota; Sphingobacteriia; Sphingobacteriales
Description: partial 16S ribosomal RNA
Rfam family: Bacterial small subunit ribosomal RNA
Source: RNAcentral
AACGAGCGCAACCCCUCGCAUUCAGUUGCCAUCGGGUAAUGCCGGGCACUCUGGAAGGACUGCCAUCGACAAGAUGGAGGAAGGUGGGGAUGACGUCAAGUCAUCAUGGCCCUUAUGUCCAGGGCGACACACGUGCUACAAUGGCCGAUACAGAGGGCAGCUACCUGGUGACAGGAUGCAAAUCUCCAAAGUCGGUCUCAGUUCGGAUCGGAGUCUGCAACCCGACUCCGUGAAGUUGGAUUCGCUAGUAAUCGCGCAUCAGCCAUGGCGCGGUGAAUACGUUCCCGGGCCUU